This 497-nucleotide ribosomal RNA is filed under the name uncultured bacterium. Its description in RNAcentral is "partial 16S ribosomal RNA". It matches the Rfam family "Bacterial small subunit ribosomal RNA", at positions 28 to 507 of the family's 1533-position model. The record is from RNAcentral.
GAUGAACGCUGGCGGCGUGCCUAAUACAUGCAAGUCGAGCGGACGGACGGGAAUCUCGCUUCGCUGAUGUUAGCGGCGGACGGGUGAGUCACACGUGUCUAACCUGCCUAUAAGGCUGGGAUACCGUCGGGAGACCGGAUCUAAUAUCGGUCCAUAUGUUGAACCGCAGGGUUCAUCAGUGAUAGCGCUACUUGCUGUGCCUAAGACAGGUUACCGGGCUGCAUUAGCUAGUUGGUAAGGUAACGGCUUACCAAGGCGACGAUGCGUAGCUGACCUGAGAGGGUGAUCGGCCACACUGGAACUGAGACACGGUCCAGACUCCUACGGGAGGCAGCAGUGGGGAAUAUUCCGCAAUGGGCGAAAGCCUGACGGAGCCACGCCGCGUGUGUGGUGAAGGUCUUCGGAUCGUAAAGCUCUGUUAUUUGGGAGGAACAGAUGUGAGUUAAACUCUGGACAUCUUGACGGUACCUAAUGAGAAAGCACCGGCUAACUACGUG